Molecule: ribosomal RNA, 109 nt
Filed under: Amphilophus citrinellus (Midas cichlid)
Lineage: Eukaryota; Metazoa; Chordata; Actinopteri; Cichliformes; Cichlidae
Source: RNAcentral
CCUUACGGCCAUACCACCCUGAACCCAUCUGAUCUCGGAAGCUACACAGGGUCGGGCCUGGUUAGUACAUGUAUGGGAGACCACCUGGGAAUACCAAGUGCUGUAAGCU